This is a microRNA precursor of Macaca mulatta (Rhesus monkey), 46 nucleotides long. NCBI's taxonomy places the organism in Eukaryota, Metazoa, Chordata, Mammalia, Primates, Cercopithecidae. The record is from Ensembl.
ACCCCUGCCACGUCAAAGGAGGCAGAAGGGGAGUUGGGAGCAGAGA